This 5689-nucleotide unclassified non-coding RNA is filed under the name Leishmania donovani. Its description in RNAcentral is "gene:LdHU3.17.0960(CDS-product:vacuolar-type_Ca2+ -ATPase_putative)". The record is from RNAcentral. Lineage: Eukaryota; Euglenozoa; Kinetoplastea; Trypanosomatida; Trypanosomatidae.
CCUUUGGAAGUUGUACACACACACCCAUAUUCAUUAUAUAUACGUAUAUAAAUAUAUAUGCAUACCUAUAUAUCUAUAUCUACAUGCAUACAUGCAUUGCCCUCACUCUUGAUUUGAGUUGUUACUCUCGUCGGUGUCGCUUCGCUCUCGUCCGCUAAUCAUCAUUUUCUUUUCUUCUUGUACCCCAGCGCAACCCCUCUCCCCGCCCGACAGACACCCCUGACUUGGCGGGGUAGCGACAGCCGCAUGAGCAGUGCAGUGAAGCUGUCCGUGGGGGAGAGAUGUGCUCGCCAGCCCGCGCCCUCUUCAAGGGGCUCGAGCAAGGCAGGGUCGGAGAGCGCAUUCGCCAUCAGCCCCGAAACACUGCAUGAGCUCAUCAGCGAUGGAGGUCAUGACGCAACAAAACGGCUCGCCAGCAUCGGCGGGCUCAAGGGACUCGCCUCGCAGCUCAAGACUGACCUUGCGCAUGGCAUCGACAACAACGACAAGAAGGCAAUCACGCAGCGUCGCGAGUGGUUCUCCGCUAAUGAGCUGCCAGAGGCGGAGGAGACGUCGUUCAUGGACAUGGUCUGGGAGUCGCUCGAGGACCGCAUGAUUCAGAUCCUAAUCGUCAGUGCGGUGGUCUCGCUUGUGCUGGGGCUAACAGUGCCGGAUCAGGACACGGGGCUUGUGGACUACGCCCACGGUUGGAUCGAGGGCACCGCCAUCCUGCUCUCCGUCACCAUUGUUACUCUUGUCAGCAGCAUCAACAACUACCAGAAGGAGCAGAAGUUCAAGGAGCUGAGCAAGGCCACACCGCCGGUGAAGGUGCAGGUGGUCCGCUCCGGCACCACACUGGACAUCACGGACAAGGAGCUGCUCUCCGGCGACCUGCUCAAUGUUGCUGCGGGUGACGUGCUGACGGUAGAUGGCCUCGUCCUGCGGAGCACCUCGCUGAAGGUUGACGAGUCUGCCGCGACAGGCGAGAACGACGAUGUGGCCAAGUCGGCGCACGGCGACUUUGUGCUCCGCUCAGGCUCGAACGUUACGGAGGGCGAGGGCACGAUCCUCGUUAUGGGGGUUGGCGUGCACUCCUUUGCCGGACACAUCGCAAUGCACGUGCGGGAGGCGAAGGAGGAGACACCGCUGCAGCACAAGCUUGAAGAGCUUGCGAACCUCAUCGGCUACAUGGGCAUGGUCGCCGCCGGGCUCAUGUUGGUGCUGCUCAGUGGCAAGGAGCUUCUGGACACGGUUGUCUACCGCAAGCACCCGUUCGGCUACAAGAAGUACCUCGACAACUUGAUGACGGCGGUGACGAUCGUGGUCGUGGCGGUGCCGGAAGGGCUGCCGCUCUCCGUCACCAUUGCACUCGCCUACAGCAUGAAGCAGAUGUUCAAGGAGAACAACCUCGUUCGGCACCUAGCGGCCUGUGAGACCAUGGGUGGCGCGACCACAAUCUGCACCGACAAGACCGGCACCAUAACCCAGAACGACAUGUCCGUGACUGACGGAGUGACGGCGUACGGUGUUGCGUAUGUGGUGCCCCGCAAGCCGUCCACCUUCGCCGGAGAGGAUGAGAAGGUGAACAGCGGUACACUGGCCUCACCGUCACCGCUGCUGCAGACGUCCACGCCCAUGGACGUGUCUGCGGCUCUCGGCGGCGCGCAGGCCGCUGGUGUGCGCCGGCUUCUCAUGGAGUGCAUCGCCAUGAACACCAAGGCUACCUGGGUCCGGGUAGAGUCGCUCGAAGCGAAGCAGGCGACGGUGAGGCUCACUGGCAGCAAAACGGAGCAGGCGCUGCUGAACUUUGUGGAUGCGCUGGGCGAAGACCCGAUGCAGCUGCGCAGCGAGCGGCUGUCGAGGCUCAAUGAGGAGGCGAUGCGUACACCGUCGUCUCCGUUCUCGCUGGUGCCGUGGCCUACGGGGCUGGCGGGGACGAGCAGCAACGUCGUGGCCGCUGCAGCGACUUUCACUAAGGAUCUCCGCAUCUACCCCUUCACCUCGGCGCGCAAGCGGAUGGCGACGGCGUUGGUGCUGCGACCGGAGAAGCUGGUACGAUACUACGUAAAGGGGGCGAGCGAACUGAUCCUGGCCGAGUGCACACACACGUACGAUGCGCAGGGCGAGCGCGUUGGUCUCUCCCACGAAGUGCGCGUGCGGCUGGAGGAGGCCAUCAUGGCCAUGGCGCGUCGUCAGCUACGCACGCUUGCCAUCGCCUACGCAGACUAUCCUCUGUCGGCCGACUACAGCGCCACACCGCAGGACUCCAGCAACAGCGAUGAGGGCGGCGCUGCGCCGUCGUCGCCUUUUCUGGCAGACGAUACACAGCUAGCGGGGUUGACGUUGGUGGGCAUCGUAGGAAUUCGCGAUCCGGUGCGCCUCGAGGUGCCUAGGGCUGUGGCGCAGUGCCGUCGGGCCGGCGUAGUUGUGCGCAUGAUCACUGGCGACAACAAAGCCACAGCUGUGAGCAUUGCCAAGGAGGUGGGCAUCUACGGCAAGGUCUGGUUCGGGCCUGCGGAAGGGGAGCAGGGGCUUGCGCUGGAGGGGCCGCAGUUCCGCGAACUUGCGAAGAGCGCGCGAAAGCUGAAUGCCAUUCUGCCCCGUCUGCAGGUCAUCUCCCGCGCAUCCCCGAUGGACAAGCACAUCCUCGUCUCAGCCUUGAUGAAGCGCGGCGAGGUGGUGGCGGUCACCGGCGACGGCACCAACGACGCGCCGGCGCUGAAAGGCGCCAACGUCGGGUUCUCCAUGAACUCCGGCACCGAGGUCGCAAAGCUCGCCUCUGACGUCGUCAUCCUGGACGACAACUUCAGCACCAUCGUGACCGCAAUGAAGUGGGGUCGUAACGUGCACGACAACAUCUGCAAGUUUCUUCAGUUCCAAAUGACCGUGAACGUGGCCGCCGUCGUGGUCUCGUUCACUGGCGCGCUCCUGGACCGCAACGGCGAUUCCCCGCUGAAGCCGGUGCAGCUCCUGUGGGUGAACCUAAUCAUGGAUACGCUGGCCGCCUUGGCGCUGGCGACGGAGACGCCGUCGGACGAGGUGCUCCUGCGGCCGCCAAAGCCGAAGGCGGCCCCGCUCAUCACCCGCCGUAUGUGGCUGAAUAUUGCCGGCCAGUCCCUCUACCAGAUUCUCAUCCAGCAGUACCUGCUCUUGGGCGGCGCCAACACUCUGGGACUCGCUGUGCGAGACUCUGAGGAGUUGCACACCCUCAUCUUCAACGUCUUUGUUCUGAUGCAGCUGAGCAACGAGUUCAACGCCCGCAUCCUCGACGACUCCGUGGCCUUCUGGCACAACCUGGGCAAUGCUCCGAUGUUCAUCACCGUUGUCGGGACGAUGUUUGUCAUUCAAAUCGUCAGCGUUCAGUACGGCGGCACCCUCAUGCAGUGCGUGCCUCUCCCGCUAGCCUCGUGGGUGACGUCCCUCGCCCUCGGCGUUGUGCCGCUUCUCCUCGGCUUUGUGCUGCGCAGGAUUGGCGUUGUCGAGAGGGAGAUUCCGCCCCCGCUGCCAGUGGUGGACACGGAGGAGGAGGCGGCACUGCAGCUGGCGCUGAAGCAGCACGUCUGCCCCACGCUUCGGGACACCGUGGGAAAAGUGCGGAUGCAACUACGGGUGCUGAAGGCCUUUCGUGAGAAUGCUCAGGAACAGAAGGCAGCAAGGAAUCGAAGCAGCUGAGCAGGCGGCGGGGUACCGGCAGCUACGCGCAAGCACGCACCUCUGUGAGGAGCCGAGCUUUCAUGUCCUGCGGCUUCCUUCUGUUGAGGAGGGGCUGCCAUGCAUGACAUGGCGGUCACCCCUUCCACCGCUUCAUGCGCCACAGACCUUUGAUCUCUCACUGUCUAUCGCUGCCUUAUAUAUGUGGCACCGUGUCGUGGUCCUGCGAAACAGAGACAGACACGGAGGGCCACACCAACAGUUCACGCGCUGAAGCGGAGGCGGGAGGUGCAGCGUCACGGACAGGUUGGGCUUUCAUUUGUGUGCUGCGCCUCUCCUUACCGCCUUUAUUUCCAUUCUCUAUUACUUGUUCGGCGGACCGCUGACGUGUCCGCAGCGCAGGCGCUGCGGGGCUUUAUAUGCAUUGACUUACCGUGUUGGCGUCGUGUCCUACACACGUAGCAGGUGACAUCUGACAGCGCAUUUUGUGUGUGUGUGUGUGUGUGUGUGUGUGUGUGUGGCGGGGGGCGCCAGUGCCGGCGCUGCUAGCUCGCCGCGUGCACCUCUCCUUUUAUCUUUUUUUUUGGUCAUUGGGAGGGGGGAGCUGAAACACAAGGACGAAGUUGAGAUGCUUGGAGAAAUCGGCUACGCCAGAGGAGCCGACGCCAACUGCAUGGAUGACAGACCCGGUCAUCGGUUUCAGACGCCAGGUCAACACCCCUCGAAAUAGCGCUACACGCUGCGGCACGCAGCUACAAGAGCUCCUUGGCGGCGGCUGUCCCACACCGGAAAAACAAGGAUGCUGAGCUGGCGAGGCGACAGGGAGACCCUCCUCCCCCAGCUCCGCACCGGCACCUGCCCGCACUUUGGAUCCCUGCAGCGGCGGGCGGCUGGCAGCGACUAGGCGGGGUGCGGAUGAUGUGCUGCCCGCUGCUCCGCUGGCCUUUGGGGGGGGUUACCCCCACCCCCACCCCCGCCUGUGCUUUGCUGCGAAGGCGCCUGACCCGCCAUUGUGCCCCGCAUGCCACGCGCGAUUGGCGAACUACGCGACGCUCAAGGCGCACCUGGCUUCACGCUAUGCGAUCGUGCACGCGAUGGCCUGAUGAAGCGCGUCUCACCCGCGCCGCACGGGCUUCCACUGUCGCGUGUGCAUGGCGGCCCCGGACCACCCUUCAGGACGACAGGCUAUGAGCUCUGUGUGCGCUGGCCCACGCUGGCGCGCGGGCCCCCCGUCGCUGGACGCACCCCGCUCCCGUCAGAGGCCUGCGGAUUCAGGAGAGGGCGAAAUGCCCCCGUUCCGCCACAGACUCAUAGCAGCGUCCCAACUGUCGCGGCGCAUGCGUGCAAGCCGUCCAGGCUCCCACUCCUCCAGACAACAACAUCGUUCUGGAGCAGGCCCCAGGGUCCAAUGGUGCGAGCACUGUGCGCACGGACUGUCAAGCACCGCUGGCAUGGCGUAUCGAAUACGAGCAAGGCAUCCAGAGGCCAGAAGGAGCACGAAUGAUAGACGAGAACGGCACGAGGAGAUCUAUAACAAUGAACCCCACAAUGCAUGUGUGCAAACACAUGCGGCGUCUCCUACAUCCCGACCGGGAUGGGCUGAUGGGGCACGGGUGCCAGAAGCAUGCCGAGAACACCAUCGAGUCCUCCAGCUUCCCAUAUGAAGAGCAUUCACGUCGUACUAUGGGACGCUGCGGCUUGAAGCGGCUCAGGAAGAUUAGAGGGUUUCAGAGAACCCUGACCUGAGGCUGGCCAGCUUCCCCCUUGAGCUCAUCCAGCAUGCGCCUAGAUCACCCCCUAAUACCCAAGCCACAGACGCCAUCACCACCGCCCCCGAGCAGACCCUUGGACGCGGCCCGCUUGGAUCAAGGCAUGCAGUCCACCCGAGCGUCUGUCUCGUGCUAAUCACGCAGCAUGUGUGCCAAGAAGAGGGCGAGCAAGGACACGAAGCGUUCGUUAGACACAUGGCCGGAUUCAGCGGCAGCGAGAGAGAGAGGCUGAUGAGCUACGGUUGUGUGCGUGCGCAUCUUCGUUUGACCUGAUCCUGGUAGAAUGGCCG